GGAAAACGAAUACUCUCCCUAUUAUAAAUAACCGUACACAUGUUUGUCUGUCUGCUGCUGGACAAAGGAUGGCCUGCUGGGACUAAUCUGGUUACUACAGUUAAAAGUGAUCCCUGAAGGUGUUCACCAUAGCAUGAGCCAAGGCUAACCACGACUCACGUCAACCAUGUCUCCUCCACGUGUAACUAUGGGCUCAGUCCUUUUCACAAUGAGCAACUAUCUGUGCCAUAGCUUUCACAAAACACUGCGCCUUUCACACAGUUUUAUCCUUCAGCUCUGCAGAGGAAACGGGAUUAAUGAUUCCACCAUCUCUGCUCCUCCCAGCGGGUGCAGAGUUGUUGUUGAUCCUGGCUUUGCAGGAGAAGAGUGCAGUUCUAGACUCUGCGGGAACGUCCAUUAGCAGGUUAAUAAAGAGCAUCCUGUGUUUAUGUGUGUGGCUUUGUGUAUUUAAUCGUUUCACACUGUAUUUGUCAGGAUGUUUGCUUAUGGAAAGUGUUAAAGUCAUUUUUAGCCUGCUUGCUUUCCCCUCUUGUCUCUCGGCCUUUGUUCUGUGUCUCCUUUCUCGUUCUACCUGGGGUUUUUUUACAAGCUGUUGGGAAACUUCUUUUUCAAGCUAUCCAUCUCCUCUUUGAUAUUUGUUGGAAAAGUAUUCAGAUCCAAGUGAAAUGUGUCCUCGUGUGAGUGUGAAAGUGAGUCAGAGUGUUUGAUCAGGGCCAAAAUAGGAAUGGGAUGUAUCUUUAAUCGAGCCCCUGUAGUAUCAGUCCUGAGUCAAUAUUGCUCCGUCUGAGCUGGAAAAGGGGGGAAGUCUUGAGCAAGUAGAAGAACCGCCCGCUCUCUGGACGUAAUUAAUAAGGAAACUGAAAAACAAGAUAAUGACGCUGCUGCACUUGACUGCUUACCUCACUUCAGCAAAAUGUAGAGAUGUUUGGAAUGAGAUUAGUUAAGAUUGGUUAUCCUUGUAUGAUUUAAGGAUAAGGGACAUUUCAUUUGACAUCUGAGACACAUUUUGAUCAAAGCCUUUGGGACGUGUCCUCAGGUUGCGACCUGCUUCCACCUUAAAUCCAGCAGCCAGCAGCAUUAAGUCAAUGUUCCCAAAAUAUCUGGUUGAAAGAUAAACUGUCCUCUCAUUUGACCCUCUCUCCCUCCCCUCGUGAUUUUCUCUGUGUGAAACGCUCCCACACUCUUUUCCUUAAUCCCCCCCCUUCCCCCUUUACGUCUCCCCCUUUUUUUUUUUUUUCAAAGCGUGGUCUCCUCCCAUCCUCUAAUCUCCC
Gasterosteus aculeatus aculeatus (three-spined stickleback) is the source of this 1271-nucleotide long non-coding RNA. Lineage: Eukaryota; Metazoa; Chordata; Actinopteri; Perciformes; Gasterosteidae. The record is from Ensembl.